GGUAACAGGAAACAGCUUGCUGUUUCGCUGACGAGUGGCGGACGGGUGAGUAAUGUCUGGGAAACUGCCUGAUGGAGGGGGAUAACUACUGGAAACGGUAGCUAAUACCGCAUAACGUCGCAAGACCAAAGAGGGGGACCCUCGGGCCUCUUGCCAUCGGAUGUGCCCAGAUGGGAUUAGCUUGUUGGUGGGGUAACGGCUCACCAAGGCGACGAUCCCUAGCUGGUCUGAGAGGAUGACCAGCCACACUGGAACUGAGACACGGUCCAGACUCCUACGGGAGGCAGCAGUGGGGAAUAUUGCACAAUGGGCGCAAGCCUGAUGCAGCCAUGCCGCGUGUAUGAAGAAGGCCUUCGGGUUGUAAAGUACUUUCAGCGGGGAGGAAGGGAGUAAAGUUAAUACCUUUGCUCAUUGACGUUACCCGCAGAAGAAGCACCGGCUAACUCCGUGCCAGCAGCCGCGGUAAUACGGAGGGUGCAAGCGUUAAUCGGAAUUACUGGGCGUAAAGCGCACGCAGGCGGCUUGUUAAGUCAGAUGUGAAAUCCCCGGGCUCAACCUGGGAACUGCAUCUGAUACUGGCAAGCUUGAGUCUCGUAGAGGGGGGUAGAAUUCCAGGUGUAGCGGUGAAAUGCGUAGAGAUCUGGAGGAAUACCGGUGGCGAAGGCGGCCCCCUGGACGAAGACUGACGCUCAGGUGCGAAAGCGUGGGGAGCAAACAGG
Molecule: ribosomal RNA, 719 nt
Filed under: uncultured Escherichia sp.
Lineage: Bacteria; Pseudomonadati; Pseudomonadota; Gammaproteobacteria; Enterobacterales; Enterobacteriaceae
Description: bacterial SSU rRNA
Rfam family: Bacterial small subunit ribosomal RNA
Source: RNAcentral